GAUGAAGAACGUAGCGAAAUGCGAUAAGUAAUGUGAAUUGCAGAAUUCAGUGAAUCAUCGAAUCUUUGAACGCACAUUGCGCCCGCCAGUAUUCUGGCGGGCAUGCCUGUUCGAGCGUCAUUUCAACCAUCAAGCCCCCGGCUUGUGUUGGGGACCUGCGGCUGCCGCAGGCCCUGAAAACCAGUGGCGGGCUCGUUGUCACACCGAGUGCAGUAAUCAUUCUUCUCUCCGGGCGUGGCGGCGGGUUCCGGCCGUAAAACCACCAAUCUAUCAAGGUUGACCUCGGAUCAGGUAGGAAUACCCGCUGAACUUAAGCAUAUCAAUAAGCGGAGGA
This 334-nucleotide unclassified non-coding RNA is filed under the name soil metagenome. RNAcentral describes it as "partial contains 5.8S ribosomal RNA, internal transcribed spacer 2, and large subunit ribosomal RNA". The stretch from base 1 to 120 matches the Rfam family "5.8S ribosomal RNA", at positions 35 to 154 of the family's 154-position model. The record is from RNAcentral.